GCAGAACGCGAAGAACCUUACCUGGGCUUGAAAGUUAGUGACCGCUCCUGAAAGGGAGCUUCCCGCAAGGGCACGAAACUAGGUGCUGCAUGGCUGUCGUCAGCUCGUGCCGUGAGGUGUCGGAUUAAGUUCCAUAACGAGCGCAACCCCUAUCUUUAGUUGCCAGCGGGUAAUGCCGGGGACUCUAAAGAAACUGCCCGUGUAAGCGGUGAGGAAGGUGGGGAUGACGUCAAGUCAUCACGGCCCUUACGUCCAGGGCGACACACGUGCUACAAUGGUAGGGACAGUGAGUUGCAAACCGGCAACGGUGAGCUAAUCUAUAAACCCUAUCUCAGUUCGGAUCGAGGUCUGCAACCCGACCUCGUGAAGCUGGAAUCGCUAGUAAUCGGAUAUCAGCCAUGAUCCGGUGAAUACGUUCCCGGGUCUUGUACACACCG
Molecule: ribosomal RNA, 437 nt
Filed under: uncultured bacterium
Lineage: Bacteria
Description: bacterial SSU rRNA
Rfam family: Bacterial small subunit ribosomal RNA
Source: RNAcentral